UGGGGAAUUUUGGACGAAUUGGGGGCAACCGUCGAUCCAGCAAUGCCGCGUGUGUGAAGAAGGCCUUCGGGUUGUAAAGCACUUUUGUCCGGAAAGAAAACGUCGUGGUUAAUACCCGUGGCGGCUGACGGUACCGGAAGAAUAAGCACCGGCUAACUACGUGCCAGCAGCCGCGGUAAUACGUAGGGUGCAAGCGUUAAUCGGAAUUACUGGGCGUAAAGCGUGCGCAGGCGGUCCGCUAAGACAGAUGUGAAAUCCCCGGGCUUAACCUGGGAACUGCAUUUGUGACUGGCGGGCUAGAGUAUGGCAGAGGGGGUAGGAAUUCCACGUGUAGCAGUGAAAUGCGUAGAGAUGUGGAGGAAUACCGAUGGCGAAGGCAG
RNAcentral lists this ribosomal RNA (380 nucleotides) under uncultured bacterium. Its description in RNAcentral is "partial 16S ribosomal RNA". It matches the Rfam family "Bacterial small subunit ribosomal RNA", at positions 355 to 724 of the family's 1533-position model. The record is from RNAcentral.